CGCUGGGCCCCGCGCGGCGAAGCGCUCCGAACCCCGCCAGGACCGGAAGGGAGCAACGGUAAGGAGUUGCCUUCGGGCGCCGCGGCAAGCCUGGCGGCA
RNAcentral lists this signal recognition particle RNA (99 nucleotides) under Chloroflexota bacterium. RNAcentral's name for it is "signal recognition particle sRNA small type". It matches the Rfam family "Bacterial small signal recognition particle RNA". From Rfam's summary of the family: The signal recognition particle (SRP) is a universally conserved ribonucleoprotein involved in the co-translational targeting of proteins to membranes. Archaeal SRP consists of a 7S RNA and homologues of the eukaryotic SRP19 and SRP54 proteins. In most bacteria, the SRP consists of a 4.5S RNA and the Ffh protein (a homologue of the eukaryotic SRP54 protein). Lineage: Bacteria; Bacillati; Chloroflexota. The record is from RNAcentral.